CGACCUCACCCGGAAGCACUUUCUCAAGAGCUCCGCCGAAACAAGAUGGCGGCGCCCACCAAAUUAUUAGAAACAUGAAAAUCAUGGAAAUAUUGAGUUGGAAGAAACACAUGGAUCCUCCAGUACCUUUGCAAUGUGCAAGAAAACAAGUUGUCCAUCUUUAGAAGCUCCAAAGAUGGAAAAGCCACAUCUUCUAGAGAUACAACCCAGGUUCCAUAGGUGCAGCCCCGCCUCCUCCCCAUGUGGGGCAGAAGAAGCAGGGUCCAAGGCAGAGCUUUAUCCAGGCCAACCAAACUAGAUGAGGCUGGUAAGAAAGCUGUCUCAGUCCCUUACAACAAGGAAAGAAAGCAC
Molecule: non-coding RNA, 351 nt
Organism: Pantherophis guttatus
Lineage: Eukaryota; Metazoa; Chordata; Lepidosauria; Squamata; Colubridae
Source: RefSeq, a predicted model, not a curated record